This 460-nucleotide ribosomal RNA is filed under the name uncultured bacterium. RNAcentral's name for it is "partial 16S ribosomal RNA". It matches the Rfam family "Bacterial small subunit ribosomal RNA", at positions 338 to 795 of the family's 1533-position model. The record is from RNAcentral.
CCUACGGGAGGCAGCAGUGAGGAAUAUUGGUCAAUGGACGAGAGUCUGAACCAGCCAAGUCGCGUGAAGGAUGACUGCCCUAUGGGUUGUAAACUUCUUUUAUAUGGGAAUAAAACGUUCCACGUGUGGGGUUUUGUAUGUACCAUAUGAAUAAGGAUCGGCUAACUCCGUGCCAGCAGCCGCGGUAAUACGGAGGAUCCGAGCGUUAUCCGGAUUUAUUGGGUUUAAAGGGAGCGUAGGUGGAUUGUUAAGUCAGUUGUGAAAGUUUGCGGCUCAACCGUAAAAUUGCAGUUGAAACUGGCAGUCUUGAGUACAGUAGAGGUGGGCGGAAUGCGUGGUGUAGCGGUGAAAUGCUUAGAUAUCACGAAGAACUCCGAUUGCGAAGGCAGUGCACUGGACUGCAACUGACACUGAGGCUCGAAAGUGUGGGUAUCAAACAGGAUUAGAUACCCGGGUAGUC